AACGUUUGAGUGUCCGUCUUAUAUGAAAUUUUUUUAUAAUUAAUAUUUUCAUUGUUAUUAGAUGAUAAAAUAUGAUUAAUACUUUAUGCGUGACUUAUUUUUUUAAUUUUUUUAUAAUUUUUUUAAAUAAGACAGACGGUGAAACGUU
This 148-nucleotide microRNA precursor is filed under the name Oryza sativa Japonica Group (Japanese rice). RNAcentral describes it as "MIR812 microRNA precursor family". It matches the Rfam family "MIR812 microRNA precursor family", at positions 30 to 176 of the family's 205-position model. The record is from Rfam by way of RNAcentral. Lineage: Eukaryota; Viridiplantae; Streptophyta; Magnoliopsida; Poales; Poaceae.